This 524-nucleotide ribosomal RNA is filed under the name uncultured bacterium. Its description in RNAcentral is "partial 16S ribosomal RNA". It matches the Rfam family "Bacterial small subunit ribosomal RNA", at positions 28 to 523 of the family's 1533-position model. The record is from RNAcentral.
GACGAACGCUGGCGGCGUGCCUAAUACAUGCAAGUCGAAUGAAGCUGUUUUAACUGGUGCUUGCACCGACUUAAACAACUGAGUGGCGAACGGGUGAGUAACACGUGGGUAACCUGCCCCAAAGCGGGGGAUAACAUUUGGAAACAGAUGCUAAUACCGCAUAACCACAGAAACCACAUGGUUUCUGUGUCAAAGAUGGUUUCGGCUAUCACUUUGGGAUGGACCCGCGGCGUAUUAGGUAGUUGGUAAGGUAAUGGCUUACCAAGGCAAUGAUACGUAGCCGAACUGAGAGGUUGAUCGGCCACAUUGGGACUGAGAAACGGCCCAAACACCCACGGGUGGCAGCAGUAGGGAAUUUUUCGCACUGGACGGAAGUCUGACGGAGCAAUGCCGCGUGGAGGAAGAAGAUUUUCGGAUUGUAAACUCCUGUUGUGAGGGAAGAAAGACGAUAGUAGGGAAUGGCUAUCGAGUGACGGUACCUUACCAGAAAGGGACGGCUAACUACGUGCCAGCAGCCGCCGUAA